AGGAGAAAGUUAAAGGAACUUGCAAUCCACGUUAGUUCUCUACAAAUAUGAUAAAGUACACCCAGUAAUAUGGAUGACAAAUCGUUGUGCUCUUCUGGGAUGCUUAUCUACUUGUUUAAAGGAAACGGACAGUUGUUUCUUUAGCCAUUUGUUUAUUGACCGGGAAAAUCUCCUGAUCCAUGGAAAAAGAAGUUUUCUUUGAUGAGUUGUGGCGCUGAAUACUCUUCACUGGAUCCCGUAUCUGCUGAACUUGCCGCCCUGUACAGUUGUGCCUGUUGUUCGUGGUCACUGGACUAGAUACAGCUUCUCAGGUCGUGAGUACUAUAAAUGUCCAAAAAGAGACGUCCCCAAUGUGGAUAGGUGCCAUGACAAUGUCCUGCUUGCGUGUGAUUGGUGGCAGCUGGCAAGGCCUGGUUAAUAAUGGGUCGUUUAGGAUGUAGGAAGAGAAUUGUAUAUGAAAUGAAAUGGAACAUGAUUUCACAAGCAAGAUAUCAGUCAGGG
Molecule: long non-coding RNA, 501 nt
Organism: Sinocyclocheilus rhinocerous
Lineage: Eukaryota; Metazoa; Chordata; Actinopteri; Cypriniformes; Cyprinidae
Exons: 2
Source: RefSeq, a predicted model, not a curated record